AUUCAGAGGCUUUUUUGGACCAAACUUGGCAGUUGAAUAAGGGUUUUCCUAGUCGUUCAUUCACGUCGUUAUGUGCUUCGCAUAUCCAUUCACACAAUGAUUCUCGACUAUCUACUCGAGGAGAAUUUCCAUAUUUAGCCAUCCAAAUACGUAAAUCUUCUGCACAAGACCAACAAGGAUAAAAUUUUGAAAAAUUGUACAGAAAACUGGACAUAUCAUUUUGUUGAGUGGGUGUUGGAUUUUUUGGAAAAUUGGCGGCCAUUGCAUGUAAGAACGUCCAAGUACUCCUUCCAAGUUCAGCGACAUCUGGAAGCCUGGGAAACGAUACGCUAUCUGGGAUUGCAUUGGUAUUGCAAUCUAUAGAUGAUUGUUUGCUUUCAAGCUGGGUAUUUGACUUUACUUCAGGGACAGUGCUACUAUUAGGUUGUUGAGCAACAUUUCGAAAGGAAGAAAAUAUGUUACAUGUUUUACAAGGUCUCCCGUUUUCGUCGUAAAUAAUUCCUGUCUCCUUAUCGCGAUAUCUUUUUCCAAAAACCAUUUUAACUUGAUUGAGAAAUAAGGAACGGACAAUACCAAAUUUUUACCUACAAAUGAUUCUGUCAGUAGCAUUCGACAGCCAAAUAUGUAUGAUGCUCAAUUUACAAGUUAAAUUCAUCUACUUUUAACCAAAUAAUUAUAUAACGUAGUACUUCAGCGCCGUUGAUUACUAACAAAGGCAUUUGAAAACACCACUGUUAAAUAUGGAACUGUUGCGAAUUUCGCUGUUUUUCUUGUCCAAAGGCUUAUGGCUUAAAAUCGUAUUUAUUAAA
Schizosaccharomyces pombe (fission yeast) is the source of this 809-nucleotide non-coding RNA. The record is from the annotation of a GenBank genome assembly. NCBI's taxonomy places the organism in Eukaryota, Fungi, Ascomycota, Schizosaccharomycetes, Schizosaccharomycetales, Schizosaccharomycetaceae.